RNAcentral lists this ribosomal RNA (497 nucleotides) under uncultured bacterium. RNAcentral's name for it is "partial 16S ribosomal RNA". It matches the Rfam family "Bacterial small subunit ribosomal RNA", at positions 28 to 507 of the family's 1533-position model. The record is from RNAcentral.
GAUGAACGCUGGCGGCGUGCCUAAUACAUGCAAGUCGAGCGAACGGACGAGAAGCUUGCUUCUCUGAUGUUAGCGGCGGACGGGUGAGUAACACGUGGAUAACCUACCUAUAAGACUGGGAUAACUUCGGGAAACCGGAGCUAAUACCGGAUAAUAUUUUGAACCGCAUGGUUCAAAAGUGAAAGACGGUCUUGCUGUCACUUAUAGAUGGAUCCGCGCUGCAUUAGCUAGUUGGUAAGGUAACGCCUUACCAAGGCAACGAUGCAUAGCCGACCUGAGAGGGUGAUCGGCCACACUGGAACUGAAACACGGUCCAGACUCCUACGGGAGGCAGCAGUAGGGAAUCUUCCGCAAUGGGCGAAAGCCUGACGGAGCAACGCCGCGGAAGUGAUGAAGGUCUUCGGAUCGUAAAACUCUGUUAUUAGAGAAGAACGUAUGUGUAAGUAACUGAGCACAGCUUGACGGUACCUAAUCAGAAAGCCACGGCUAACUACGUG